This is a long non-coding RNA of Gallus gallus (chicken), 7422 nucleotides long. NCBI's taxonomy places the organism in Eukaryota, Metazoa, Chordata, Aves, Galliformes, Phasianidae. The record is from Ensembl.
GGAGAGGGGACGCGUCCCCACCGCCGCCCGCUCGCACACGCACGGCACUCCGCCGCCGCAGCGCUCUUGGAGCGGCACCGCGGCUUGCUCGGGGCUCCUCGGCUCGCGCUUCUCUCCUCAGAAAUUCAGGCAGAGCCGCGGCGGAGAGCGGGAAAGGUCCCCCUUCUGAGCCCUCUGUGAGAGCUCUGCUGACGGAGGCUCCCACCGCCCCGGCAGAAGGAGCCCCGCUCUGCGGAGCAGAGGUAUUUAUUGACGGGCUAAUUGAAGGGAGGGAAUAGCCCCGACAUCCAGCAGCAGCACAAGUUGUGAACACGGGACCUUAAAAGCUGCUGGGACCUCCGUUUUGCUGGAGAAAGGUUUAAUAUAAAUUAAGCGGGGUGAUGAUUAACUACGGCAGCAUCUGAAGCGCGGUGAGGAGCGAGCGCUGCUCUCUGCCCUUGGAAACCAAAGCAAUCCCUUCCCGAGUGGAGAGGGAGCACUCAGCAUCCUUCCCUCGGCUGCGUCCUUCCCAGAGCUAACCCUCCGUGCUGAAAGCCGAUGGUUAGAAGUAGCAGCACAAUGCAAAAACCCUGCGGUUUGCUCCUGAAGUUCGUGUUUUUGUUAACAGAGCUUCGCCGGCUUCAAAGUUACAGGUGGUGUUUGCUAAGGUUUACAUUCGUGCUGUCACUCACACAAGUGUCGCUAUAUAUCACCCCACGCUAAGAAAACACACUUUGUGAUUGAAGAAUGGCAUUGUGUUUGCACACGCAUUUUACAAGUAACAAAAUCCAUUUAAUUGACAUGAAAAACACGGCUGCUGCUAGUAAGUUUGGGGGCAGCGUCCUGCUUGCAGCCGUAAAAAUAACUCCGGGGAGAACAAAGCGCUUCAGUGCAGAGGGCUGGCUGCGGCGGGAGCGGGGUGGGUGCCAUGCCUUCACAUAAUGAUUGUGUUUAUACACGGCAGGAAGCAUCUGUAAUCCACAGCUGCGGGUGCUCCAGCCCCGAGUCCUGAUAAAAUCUACACCUAUGCUUCUGCAUGAAUGAAAACAGGCUGCUGGACCUGACCGAAAUGCAGCCCGUGUUGGUGAAGUUUUGUGGGUGCCAUCGCCCUCCUUCCUGUUGUGCACCCCAGCGCCUGCUCUGCUCACAUCUCCAUCACGUUCACUCCUCGCACACCAUUUGCCCCAGUCAAGGGACACCCCAGUCAAGUGGCACCCCCAGCUGCCCCACAACAUGGAGGCAGAGACCCCCCAGCUGCUCGCUGGAGGUUCAGCCUCUUGGCCAAAGAGUGAAGCACUUUCUCUGCCAAGUUCCCUUCUCUCAGGGUGCACAUGCACCCAAAGCAGCACUGUACUGACCUCCCUCCCCAUGCUCACCUCACUGUGCCACCCACCCUGCAGAGUGAAGCCAGCAGUACAUACUGUUCAUACAACGUUUUCAGACCACUUCAGCUCCCCUUCUCAAGCUCUGUGGAAGAGCCGUGCAACAGUUUAAGUUGGGACUUGGCAAAGCAAUGUUGCAGCUGCAGAGGAUGCACGAUGCUUAGCAGAGGUGACCUGUGACGUGGGCUCUGCUAGGUUUCACACCUGGAGCAGCACAGGUAGCAACCCGAGGCUUGCAGACGCCACUGGCAUCUGAUGCUUGUGGGUUUGUUUCAAAAAUCAUACUCUGAAUUCCGAUAGAGCUCUGCCUUCCUUCCCUGCUGCUGUGAGUGGAUGCUCCAACACAGAAGGCUGCCAGGCAGGAGUUGUGAAAAUAUGGCUGUACGAUCUUUAAUUCUUUGUUUUUGCAAAGACUGGUUUAGAACAGUGGUAAAGGGACACAACUGUCUUAAAUUAAUCAUUUUCCUAAGUUGAAAAAUACCCUUCUUUUCCCAUAAUUAUUUUCAGUUCAAGAAUUCAAAAAUUCAGCUGCAGUGAAGUUUAAUCCAUCUCUAUAAACGCACAAGAAUGGAAAAACACGCAGCUUUUCAGAGGCUUCCAGCAAUACCCAGAAAUAUGUGUAUAAAUUUCCAAACAGCAAAUUUAAAAAGCCUGCAGAGAAAAGAAGUAAAAAAUCCUGAAUUAAAACUCUCUGUUUGUUAUUGGUGCAUGAGUUAUGCCGUAUCAGAUGUCACCCACUUUCGCUUGCCCCAGAACAACAGCUUGGACAAGUGGGAAAUAUUGGGUACUCAGUGAAAAUGGGGUGUGAUGCAGCUCCACAGCAGUCUCAGGAUGGGAGUCUCUUUACAAUGAACAAAAUGAUUUCUGUCUUUGUAUUUUUCAAAUGUUCCAACACCACAAAGUCGUGCCACAGUAGAUUAAACAGAAAAAUAACAGUUUCUGAAAUACAAUCUCCAAAAAAAUAAUUGCAGGAGAAAUAUUCAUUCCUAGUCCAAUAAAUCCCUAAUUUUAAAUGUCAGCUGCAAAGCAUAAAUCCUUUUAAUAGAUUUCAAACUGCGGUGACAAAGUUGUAAUUGUAGGGUCCAGCCCACUCGAAAGAACUGAAUGCCGUUGCUCUGUAUUAGCCACCCUUCUGGUUUAAUUUCUGUUUUUUUUUUCCAGGGGUUUUGUUUUGCUUUGCCUUGUUUUGGGUUUGUUCUUUUCUUUUUUUUUUUUUGAUCCUUGUUUGUUUGUUUGUUUUUGCUGCGGCAUUUUAAUCUCCUCUCUUUUAGGAAUUUUCUGUUACAUUCCUGAGCCUGGUUCUGGAAUACUUUCAUCUCAGAUUGAGCAGAAUCUUGUUUCUGUUCCUCGGUAGAUGUCUGAAGUGCAAAAUCUACUUGAUCAUAACUUUCUGUGGGGUUUACUGCAGGGUAGUCUGCACGUAAAGACCCUGAAGUCAUGUGAAAUAGGAGCCUUGACCUCAAGACACAAUAAAGUUGGCUGGUUUGGUUGUGGCUCAAAAGGUCACUUUUUUUCGGGGACUGCCUCUGAGUGCUGUUUUAAACUAAUUAUUACCUUUGAUUUUAACUUAACAUUUGUUUAAAAAGAAAAAAAAAAGAGAGAGAGGAAAGAAGAAAAGAAAAAGAAGAAAGAAUGAAAAGGAAAUGAAAGGAAAAGGAAAAAACCCUCAGUUACUACUACUUAAACAGUUUGACUGGCAUGUAUAUCACAUUAUGGACAUAUGAAAAGACAAGAUUUCUGCCUGAGGAGCUUAUAGUGUAAAACAGACAGAAAGUACCGUGAAUAAUAAAAGCAGACAGAGCAGAGAUUUGUGUGUGUACGUGGGAAGAGUGGGGAGGUGCGUAGAAACAUAUUCAGAGCUCAGAAAUAUUCUACCAAUUGACACUGAUUAUGAUACUUUUCUUUCUUGUUCUGUUUCCAUGUACGUACGGUAAUAGCUUUGUUCUUCUCUAUUUACCUGUUUUUUCAGUGAGAUAUUCUAUCACAGGAGAUCACCUGCUUUCUUUUUCUGUUCUAGGUUCUAGGACAAUGGGUAACACACAUACAUCUUUAUUUUUCUACUCGGCCAUAACAUAUGACACCGAAAUCCCCCCCUCAAAAUGUUAUAUCUGCUUCCCUUGGCAGGGUUUCCCUAGUAAUCCACAGUGACUCACCACUGCAAAGUACAAUUCUCACUUAACAGAAAAUAAAAAUGAGCUUGAAAUUUUGGACUUCUGACUCUACCAUCCCCUAACAAAUGCCAUCUUUAGGUUUGUUGUUGUUGUUUUGCUUUGUUUCUUAUAUAUAUAAAAUGUUCAGAAACAGGCAAACAAACAAGAUAUUUGGAGUCAACCUCUUUUUCCUUAUGCUCAGCUGCAUUAGGCGAUUGAAAAUGGAAAAAGAAGAAAAAGAGAGCUAAACAGCUCUUUAACAAAGGAUGAACGCUACAUGGGCUUCAUUCUUUUUAGGUGUUGAAAGUGAGAUGCUGUCAGAAAUAGGAGUAUCAGAAAAGGUGACGGAACAAGCCGAGAAAUUACACUGCAGUCAAUCAGCCGGGCCAGAUGGUAUUCAUCCGAGAGUUCUGACGGAACCAAGGACCGGCGCAAGUGAGCUGCUAACAAAAAUAUGUAAUUUAUCAUUAAAAACAGCUACUGUACCAGAGGACUGGAGAAUGGCCAAGGUUGUACCCAUCUCUUAAAAAGGUGCUAAUGAUGAUCCUGGGAAUUAUAAACCAGUAACUCUUACUUCAGUACUAGGAAACUAUUCAGAGAAUCGCUGCACAUAAUGUGCCGAGGCACACAGAUAGCAAGGGAAAGCUGCAGUGCUCCUACUGAAAUCCUCUCAGCUCUCUUGGAACUACACGAAAGAGUUAAUGAACUAGUCAAUAAAGUAGAACCAGAAGACGCAAUUUAUUUAGUGUUUCCAAAAGCUUAUAGUAAAGUCUCUCAGAAGAAAAACCACAGCAGCUCCAGAAUUAAAAUCCAGUUGUGCUGAAAAACUGGCUAGAGGAUGGAAAACUAUAUAUAUUUAUCAGACUGCUUUGAAUCGUGCCUCUUGAAAGCAUUUUAUAAACGCUAGCAGAUGCCCACCACUUCCAAAUGAGCUGGUUGUACCAGAGGUUAAAGAGCUUACCUGGAAUUGAAGGGACAGCUGUGGCAGAGCCAGGGCUUCGGCUCCGGAGCAGCAGGUUCCAGAGUUGUGCUCGGCUCCCCAAGCUGCGAAAGGAUCAGCAGUCAUGCAAGCAGAGAGGUUAACUCCGAAUUGCCCCUGGGAUCAAUAGUAGCCAUAAGGAUGGGUUUGUCCAACGUGUUCAUUAACCACCUUAAACAUCUUCCAGAAUGAGGAUGGUAACAUUUGUUUUCACUGCUACAGCCACAGCUUGCUUGCUGGUGUUCAGACCUGGCACCCAUUGAUCUAAAUGGGAAAAUUCAUGACAGCACUUGGCCAUUUAUUGAGUUAACUGAAUUUCGGCAAAACCUAAAGAAAUUCCAGAGUAAGCUAGAGAACUGAGAUAGAAUGGCAAUAUGAUGGCAGUCAAAAUUAAACAGACUAUUGCCGAGGAGUUUGUGCCGGAAAAUAUUGUCAAGAACUGAUGGCAAUUAAUUAGCCCGGGAAAAUCUAAGCAUCAUUCACUGAAAAAAAGCUACCCAGCGUACUGCAGUAGCUUAGAAAGCAUACAAAAGCAGAUGAGACACUCAGAUACAUUAAAAACCAAAAAGAUGGCUGAACAUAAAAUAUUACUGCGUGAUUUCAUGAGUAAAAGUUGCAUUUCUGGACAUCCUGUCGUAUUUUUGUCACUGUGUUAUAGCAAAGUGAGGAAACACAGAGAAAUGCAGUAAACAUGAUUAAUGAAACAGGAGAUGGGACCAAGUUAGGAGGUAGACUUAGAAGAAAUCAUUUAAUUUAGAAGCAUGAAGAGGAUGAGGAGUUUUAGGACCACAUAAAAUUUCAGUUGAUGCAGAAAAGCUCAGAUGUUCCUGUCUGUUCUGUUUCAUUUCAGAAAAAAAAUAAGCAGGAAACAUAUUUAAAUGAAUAUAUGAAGGUGUUUUUUGUUGUGUUUUUUUUUUUUUUCUCGUUAGAAUAUAUAUCUGAGUCGUGGAAUUUAUUUUUGCAACAGAAGAUCGAGAAAAACAGCUCUGGGGGCGAUUGCUAUGCUUUAGUAGGAAAAAAAGGAGGAAAAAAAGAGAUUAGAAAAGGGAAACAAAAGCUAAGAGAGGAGGAAGAGUAACUCUGCCAUGUCUCCCCAUCCACACAGACCCUCUGGCUGUCCCUUCACACAGUGGCUUGUGGAGGAAGAUCCAAGAAACCCAUGACCCAAGCCAUCCUAUGCAACAUGUUUUCCCCUCUAAAGCCAUUCCUUUUUCUGACAGAAAUCCAUACAAGUUCUGCUGUGGGUCUCUCCUGCAGAGAGACUCUCUCUCUUGUCUCUCUCUCUGGGGCAGGAUGGGGGCAGAGAGGGAAGAGCACAGCCAGCCCAGAGCCUGGUCCUGUGCCAGAGCUGGGCCUGUGCUGCCCGACAUCCCUUCUAUCCCCAGGCACCGAUGCAAUCCCCUGAGAGGGGAAAAAGCAGUGGGAACUCCAUGUGCCUCUCCUGGUGGAAUUUCUCAGCACUUUUUCUUUCCUCGGGAUUUUUCCCAAGAGAAAGGAGUAUUUAGCCUUCACUUAGCUUUACCGAAGUAUUAGACAUUUAUUUGAUUAAGUACAGCAUCUGCAGCCGCACCAGCUAGAAUAAAAAUUACAAGGGCUAUCAAUCCUCAUACUUCAAGGCACGAGCUGAUGGCCAGCUGGGGUCGGGAAGAAAUUCCCCAGUGCUGCCAUGAGGUACAGGGUGCUGCCUCCCGCACCGGGCACAGUGCGAGGUCGGGGGCGCGGGGCCGGACGGGCCUUGGCCUCAGUGCAGGGAUUCCUUUGUUCCCGGGCUGGGUUUCUGUGCUGCACGAGUUUGUCAUCGUGUCUAAAUCAAGCGUUAAUUAUAAUUCUGAAAAUGCGGGAAUAUUCAUGAAUUCUUAUGUUGGCAAUAACCGUGCGUAAUACAAUACGGACAAAAACAACGUCUGCUGCGCAGCAAAAAGGAAGUUGACGGCUUUGAGCACAAGGCACUUUCUGUUUCCAGUUACCCUCCAGAACUCCUUGCACCCGAGAGUCAACGCCUUGGAGAAUAAUAACGUAAUUGCGAUUUUGUUUUAUGGUAUUCUGACAACAAAUUUGAUUCAGUAGUGUCUGCGCAGUUCAAACAAAACAAAGCACUCCAAGAGUUCGACUGCGCGAUGCUGAUAUUUUUUAUGAGCUCGAAUGUAAUCCAAAGAACGGCGUGAUGGUCUUGAUGAACAUACUUUAAAUAAAAUUUCCUUCUCUGGUUCUCUGGUUCCAUCAGCAUUUUGAUAGAACUCUGAGAGAAAAAAAAACAAAAAACCCCGAUAGCUGCUUUAUUCCUGUCAGGUUCUUUUUGUAAAGCAACUCGCGGAGAUGAUUGCAAGAGUACAUUAAAGGCAUGCAUUUUCGAAGUUAGUCAGUUGUCAAAGUGAUUUUGAGGGUUGACAAUCACAUUUAAGACAAAUAUAGAAAUCUGAAAGAAAUGCUUACAAGCAAUUUCAUAUUCUGGGCAAUGAUUUAGUUUGGAAAUGCAUCCAGUUCAAGGGUUAAAUGAAAGCAAAAGCAAUCACUUCAACCAUGUUUUUGAAGAAAAUAAAACAGCUUGAUGUAAGCUAAAUGAAGGGGGUCUGUGACUUAAAAGGAAUGGACAGAUAGAGAAAAAGGUCAGAAGAUUAAAUUUUCCCUAAGGGAAAAGUCAUUCUUUGGAAUCAUUAACCUCCUUCUAGGUCACUACUGAAAAAAACAGCAGGAAAUCCUACUGCUCCUAGAAAGAUGGGUGCAUCGUAUACCGCCCACUGACCUACCGGCACUGUGGCAAACAGAAUUCUGCUUACACAUUCUCCUCCAGGCGUGCUUGGUUUUAGUACGCCCAUUUUAAAGCAAUAUGAUCUUUUAGCUGAACUCUGAAGUGUAUCCAUAAAGGCAAUAUUCUAGGGGCUCUGGACGUUAAAAAAGAAGAAUCGCUUGUUUAAAUGUCUUUUUAACGGGG